UGAGGAAUAUUGGUCAAUGGACGAGAGUCUGAACCAGCCAAGUAGCGUGAAGGAUGACUGCCCUAUGGGUUGUAAACUUCUUUUAUACGGGAAUAAAGUGAGGCACGUGUGCCUUUUUGUAUGUACCGUAUGAAUAAGGAUCGGCUAACUCCGUGCCAGCAGCCGCGGUAAUACGGAGGAUCCGAGCGUUAUCCGGAUUUAUUGGGUUUAAAGGGAGCGUAGGCGGACGCUUAAGUCAGUUGUGAAAGUUUGCGGCUCAACCGUAAAAUUGCAGUUGAUACUGGGUGUCUUGAGUACAGUAGAGGCAGGCGGAAUUCGUGGUGUAGCGGUGAAAUGCUUAGAUAUCACGCAGAACUCCGAUUGCGAAGGCAGCAUACCGGCGCUCAACUGACGCUCAGGCACGAAAGCGUGGGGUAUCGAACAGGAUUAGAUACC
Molecule: ribosomal RNA, 435 nt
Filed under: uncultured bacterium
Lineage: Bacteria
Description: bacterial SSU rRNA
Rfam family: Bacterial small subunit ribosomal RNA
Source: RNAcentral